UUUAAAUUAUUUUCACUCUUCUCUUUAUUGCCACCUCCUCCUCCUGGAGAUCACAGCUAAUGUCACCUUUACCAUCUCCUCCACUGGGUAGAGCCUGGACAUCUGGCACCUGGGCACUGGUCCUGCCUGGGCACUACCACUUCCAUUCUCACGACAGGAGCAAAGUGCCUGCCCUGUGGAGUGCCUUGACACUUUACCCCAAUAGCACGCUUAACACAAAGGAUCUCAGAGUGUCUUGGGGAAGAUGUGAUCUGUGCCAAGCUCAGUCCUUUUCCUGGACCCUCUGCAGAGAAGCCAGGGCAUUCUCCAGCCUGUGCUAGAAAUGCGACAAGCUCAGGAAUUAAGGUGCAGGAGUUCCCGCCAUGGCUCAGUGGUUAACAAACUCAAUUAGUAUCCAUGAGGACAUGGGUUCAAUCCCUGGCCUUGCUCAGCGGGUUGGGGAUCGGGCACUGCUGUGAACUGUGCUGUAGGUUGCAGGUGCAGCUUGGAUCCAGCAUUGCGAUGACUGUGGUAUAGGCCGGCAGCUACAGGUCCAAUUAGACCCCUAGCCUGGGAGCCCUCCAUACGCUCUAGGUGUGGCCCUAAAAAGACAAAAAGACAAAAAAAUAAAAGAAAUUAAGGUGCACAUUUCAUAGGCAGACACUUCAUCAAGCACGGUCCUGUUCCCUUUGCUAAUCGUUUCAUGCCUGUGCUUCCUGCCUUCCCAGCCAUCCUGAGACCAUCUUGAGGGUAUGGACUGCAGCUUCUAGUUCUCUGCUAAGCCCAUGGUUCUGAGCAUCACAGUGAGGGCUGGAUUCAUAUCAGCUGGUUGUCUCAGCAUCAUCUCCACCAACCUGAGGCACAGGUGCUUCUCCAGGGCAUUUUCCAAGGGGGAAAGUCCAGGAUAAAGUCCCUGACCCCAAGUCUUUAUCUUACACCUGAAAAUACCCUUUCCCCCAGCAAGGACACACUCACAGGCCUCCAGCAUUAGGGCCUGACAUCUUUGGGGGAUGCUUCGCCUACUGCACCACCGCCCACCACCUCUUCUGACCUCGAACGAGUGUCCAAGGGUCCCAGAUCAGCCUCUCUGAGUCGUGCUUAUCCCUCUGAGGUACAGGAAUGACUUUUAUGGAUCCGUUGGCUUCUUCACAGAGUGGUGGUGAGGACUGAGAGGUAAUAUAUAUAUUGAAAGCAUUUUCUAAGCUGUAAAGCCCCACACAAAUGCAAGACAACAUUAUUGCACUGGGAGCGUGGCAAGUUCAACACUUGAGAAAACUAUCAGAUUUUAAAACAUGUGAGGGAAUAGGAAACCAAUGUUAUUCCAAAACCUCAUUUACACCCCACACCAAAGCCUCCCACUCUCCCUGCCUCCGCUCUCCCCUGUGGCUAUAGGGGUGUGACAGAGGCCUGUCUUGGGGGUGGCUUUGUGGCCUGAAAACAAAUCAUUCUUCACAGCUGGCUCCCCGAGUCCAAUAAGCCAGAAGGAAUUGGUAGAGAGAUUUAACGAUAUGUAUUUCAAGAAAAAGAUGAAAAUGUGUCUACUUUUAGGAGAUGCAGUAAAAAUGCAUCAGCCCCACAAUAAACUUGGCAGUGAAGAUGCAUAGAAGGCACACAUAUAAUGCAGUCAGGGCAGUAAUGUCUCAUUUCUAGGGAAAUCCUCUAAGAGAUCAAUUAGAAUUUGCCCCCGCCCAUGCCCUCCCUAUACACAGCCUCUGAACACGGUCCCACCCCUCCAGCUACCUCCAGCCUCUGCAGGGGGCCUGUUGGCUCAAAGCAGCUUGUUCCCCGGUCUCCCUUGGAAGUCUCUAGAAGAGAUGUGGGCUGAAACGGUUUGCAAACCAAUUACACGAGAAGUGGGAAACUGUGGCCCCCAGAUCAAACCUGGCUCAUAAAUUACAGCUUUAUUGGAUCACAGCCAUGCUGAUUCCUUCUAUGAUGGCUUUGUUGCUCUAAUAGAAGAGUUUAAUAAUUCUGAUUGAAAUCAUAUGGCCUGAAAGUCUAAUAUAUAUAUUAUUGGGCCUUUACAGAAAAAGUUUGUUGACAUCUGAAUAACGCCAUUACGUGAUAGGCUGUCUUUAGGCAAAACUGCCUGUAAAACCAAGAACAGGAUGACAGCUAAUUUUUUUGAGCCCUGUUCUGUGCCACGCAUGGCAUUGUGCCCAUAGGAACAGAAUGUCCCCUUAUUUAUUCUCGCAAGCAGUCCCAUGAGGUAGUAAUGCUAGCAGUAUGGCUAGAGGAGAAAACAGGCUCAGGGAAGCUAAGCAACUUUCUCAAGGUCUCAACCUGGAAAACCGGUAGAACUGGCGUUCACACUCAUGUGCGGCUGAUUCCACCACCCUUGCUCUGGCCGCCACUCUCAAGCAUCUGGUUUCCAGAUGGGCAAUUCAGAGACCCUCUUCCAGUCUCCAGCACCUUGCACUUGUUGAGGAUCUGAUUUUCUGUAUCUAAUGUACCUGCAUUGAAUCUCCCAUCAUUCACCUGCCUGCCGUGGCCGCUCUGCUAAGGAGUGAAGAAAGGGAGCCUUCCAAGCCGUCUUCCUCUCCCUUUCCCACCCUGUGCUCCCCAUCCCUGUGCUCAGUGGAUUUUGUCCCACAUUUCUGCAGGACCCGUGUUGCCGCAGUCUCCCCCGACUGUCCCACUCCUGGGCGAGAUUCUGACUGUUCUGGAGCCUCCAGUCUGCACAGAGGGGGGCGCCAACAGAGCCCUGGGAACAGAGGCAUUUGCAUUCCACUUCCCGGGGCUGUUCUGAUCUUACCUGCAAUUCUUCUGACAAAUUCUUAUCAGCGAUGCCCAUGGCGAAGUCUGUGGUGACUUUGUUCAUUCUUAUUAGCUCUGCAGAUUAGCUCUUCACAGCGCUUGGCUGGUUCAUACCGAUUCCUGAUAAAUGUUUUGACUGAUUUUCCUGACUUGGGAGCAGUUGGGGACUGGGGCUGGGUGGAGGCAGAAGACCGUGAGGAGAGGGGUGCUGGCGAGGGGAAGGAGAGAAAAUUGUGGCCAGGAUUACAUCUGGGCUAUAAAAUAUUCAUCACAUGCCUGCAAGAGCAGGGUCAGCACCGCUUCCCCAAGAACUGCUCCCUCCACCAGGCAGCACUUUGAAAUGCACCAGCCCGGGCAGGCUGGGAGCAGCUGGGAGAGGCUUCUGAGAGAAGGGGCCAGUGGAAGUUAAAAGGAAGGAAGAACAAACCAGCUCACUAGGGCUUUCCUGUCCUUCUCGGUCCCUCCCUUCUCACCUGCUCUCCAAGAACAGCUUUUGAUGGCAGAAUACUGAUGUUCCGGGUGGGCUUAGCUGCUCCUGUGCUGGGUUCCUCUUCUCCCUUUUGCUGCCCCAAGAAACCUUCCUGAGAAUUUCAGCCCACCCUUCCUCUCCUUUCCAAGAGGUCCUCCAGCUUCCCUCUUUGAGGACUUCAGACAGUGCUAAUAACAGCGUUCCUCACCGUCUCCUGUAUUUCCCCACCUAGACUGGACUUAGAGUCAUGCCCCUCCCAAGACUAGACACGAGGUACCCAUUUGUAACGUCAUGGCUGAAUUAAAUGAGCUCCUUCCCUUUGGCAGAGUUGGCCAGCAGGUACCACCACACCACCAGUGCUGAAGCAAGGCAGGUGUUGCCGAACGACUUCCACACGCUUUCUUCCCAAACCAAGAUGAAGUUUUCCCCUUGUUCUUAACAAGAGGUUCCAAGCAGCCACUCCUAAUCCAAUGGAAUCAAGAAGGAAAUAAAAACCUCUUUGCUAUCCUGGUUCUUUGGUACCCCCUGUAACUUCCUUGCAAUCAGGCACUACCUUUAGAGUCUAGGAACCUGGUACUGUGACCCCAUAUAAAAUAGGAGUUCCUGUCGUGGUGCAGUGGUUCACGAAUCUGACUAGGAGCCAUGAGGUUGCGGGUUCGGUCCCUGCCCUUGCUCAGUGGGUUAACGAUCCGGCGUUGCCAUGAGCUGCGGUGUAGGUUGCAGACGCGGCUCGGAUCCCGCGUUGCUGUGGCUCUGGCGUAGGCCAGUGGCUACAGCUCCGAUUCGACCCCUAGCCUGGGAACCUCCGUAUGCCCAGGGAAGCGGCCCAAAGAAAUAGCAAAAAGACAAAAUAAAUAAAUAAAAAAUAAACCCUGCACCCACAAAAGAAAGCUAUCCAUCACUUUCCGCAGGUAUCCGGUCAAGGCUUACCCUCUAAAAAAUUCUUUCAUGUGUCUAACCCAAGACCCUGCUGCAGUAGAAUUAUAUUCCUGGGCUUUUCUCCCAUGGGAGAAAAAAGUCAGAUGCUUUGAGAAGUGAUGUUCUCACUCACUGCUCUUUCCCACUGCCCGGAAGUUUAAACUCUGGUGCCCAAGCACCUCACUCUGGAAAAACUCAACUCAUGCCAGCCCCAUGCCUGCUCGUGCCAGCUCCCUGGAAAAUGACCCACACCCCCGAAACUAGAAAGAGGCCUGGAGACUCUUGAAGGUCCUCUCUUGCCGCAGCCAAGUUUACUCAUUAGCCUUUCACCAGAUUUAUCUUCUCCCUGGUAGCCUGCAGCGCUUUGAUUUGUCCUGCUGUCACCAGGACUAAUGUUGAUGGCGGCACCCCCCCGGGGGCGUCAGGCUCUCCAGCCUCCUGCCACAGCCCUCGAGGAAAAUGGAUGAGCAACUGACCCGCAAAAUAAAUACCAGACUUCCAGGUUCUGAUAAAGAUUAAAUAUUGGAGGAGUCAUUUCAAAUGAAUAUAUAAAAGCACAUGGAAGAAGCCUUUUAGACUCCGGCAGAGUGACAUACAGGCAAACAAAGAGAGAUGUCUUUGGGGAAGUUCAGUGGCAGGGAAGUUGGAGGCUCCGAAUGCAAUCUGCCCACAAAUACCCCAGCUGCAGGAAGGAUUCCAAAACAGUCAUCCCUCCCUUUCCCUCCACCCUCCCCACCCAGAUCGUGAAGAAGAGAAAGUGCUAAGCUCCAAAAGCCGCGUGCCAGCAUGAUGCUGAAGUCAGCUCUGGCCCAUCCAACCAAGGGAGAAGCCCCAUUACUCAACACCAUCUGCCUUGGGCGUGGAGCAGCCAAGAGCUAGGAUUACGGGCGGGGAUGGGGCUCUGAGGCCCCAAAGGAGAGAGUUACUGGGGAAGAGCAAGGUCAGGCAUCUCUGAGACAGAACAGGGAGGCGGGAGAGAAGCCAGAUGUCAGCAGAUGGAGCCAGUGUUCCUUGAGCCUGGGGCAGAAUGUGGUUUCUGGUCCGAAACAUGUGCAGAUUGAUUGCACAUCCAGAAACGCCCAAUAACCAGAAUCCCAGGAUCCUGUCUCUAGAAUCAAAUGUUGGAGUUCUCUGGAUCAAAGUUCAAGUGCAGUUAGCAUGGAGAUGGAAGGGGAGAGAGGCAGCCUUGAUUUACCUGGUGCCUGCAGUGCUGGGCCACUUACUCCUCCUGACCGUCCUGGGAGAUGGGCACCGGCAUCCAUUCCUUACAGAAAGGAGGCUGAGGCUGCGGCGAACGGAUGGCCACGAGGCUGGCGUUCGUCCCGCUGCCACAUGCUCAGUUCUCCAUCUCAGUCUGGAAGGCAGAGUCUUGGUGGUGGUCCAGGGACAGCUGUCCAAAUUCCUGAGAACCGGGCUCAGUAUCCAGGUCCCUCC
This 5557-nucleotide long non-coding RNA is filed under the name Sus scrofa (pig). RNAcentral describes it as "lncRNA (ENSSSCG00035016622.1)". Lineage: Eukaryota; Metazoa; Chordata; Mammalia; Artiodactyla; Suidae. The record is from RNAcentral.